CUACGGGUUGCUGCAGUGAGGAAUAUUGCACAAUGGGGGGAACCCUGAUGCAGCAACGCCGCGUGGAGGAUGACACAUUUCGGUGUGUAAACUCCUUUUAUAUGUCAAGAAAAUGACGGUAGCAUAUGAAUAAGCACCGGCUAACUCCGUGCCAGCAGCCGCGGUAAUACGGAGGGUGCAAGCGUUACUCGGAAUCACUGGGCGUAAAGGACGCGUAGGCGGGUUGGAAAGUCAGGUGUGAAAUCCUACAGCUUAACUGUAGAACUGCACUUGAAACUUCUAAUCUAGGGUAUGGGAGGGGGAGAUGGAAUUAGUGGUGUAGGGGUAAAAUCCGUAGAUAUCACUAGGAAUACCUAAAGCGAAGGCGAUCUCCUGGAACAUUACUGACGCUAAGGCGUGAAAGCGUGGGGAGCAAACAGGAUUAGAUACCCUAGUAGUC
This 439-nucleotide ribosomal RNA is filed under the name uncultured bacterium. RNAcentral describes it as "partial 16S ribosomal RNA". It matches the Rfam family "Bacterial small subunit ribosomal RNA", at positions 339 to 795 of the family's 1533-position model. The record is from RNAcentral.